CUGGAUUGCUACAGCGCGAAAACAGUUCACCAUGGCGCUCUGGAGAUGUAUGAUCUGUUUUAUAUUUGUUUCUUUAACUCUGAAGGUGCUCCUUAGCCACAUAAAUGCAGCUCAUGGUUGAAGACAGGAUUUUUGGGUUUACUGUGGAAUAGAUGGCUGUGAACAAGAUUUCAGAGUUUUUAACUCAUUCUUUCGCCACAUUAAACGGACGCACCCUCUGUAUUUGACGAAUGGAAGCCCACCAAGAGGAUGGAGGAUCCCCCCAACAUCCCACUCUUUAGGAUCGGAAAAUUUUGGUGUUUCAGUCUUUGCCAACUGUAGUACUACAACAACAACCAGCACCGUGGAAACAUCAACUGGUGGAUCUUUGCCUGAAGUGCAGGAGCCUCAGGUUGUUGACAGCCCGAUCACGGAAGAAGCUGUUACUACAACAUCCUUUACCAGACACGAUAUUACCAGAUCUGCUGCAGCUUUUGCUAUCAGUGUUCAAGAACAGUGCCACUUAUCACAGACAACGGUCAAACAUAUCAUCUCAGGAGUGCAACAAUAUCAGGCUGUUCUUUUGGAUACGCUCAAGGAAAGAAUGAAGUCAGUGUUUGAAGAUCAUGCUGAGGGAACCACUCAG
Oreochromis aureus is the source of this 625-nucleotide long non-coding RNA. RefSeq lists it as uncharacterized. The transcript is spliced from 3 exons. Lineage: Eukaryota; Metazoa; Chordata; Actinopteri; Cichliformes; Cichlidae. The record is from RefSeq and is a predicted model, not a curated record.